GAUAAACGCUGGCGGCGUGCCUUAUGCAUGCAAGUCGAACGGGUCACUUCGGUGACUAGUGGCGAACGGGUGAGUAACACGUAAGUAACCUGCCCCUAAGUAGGGAAUAACUCUGAGAAAUCGGAGCUAAUACCUUAUGUGGUUCUUCACCUAAGGUGAAGGAUUAAAGCCUUCGGGCGCUUGGGGAGGGGCUUGCGCCCGAUUAGCUAGUUGGUAGGGUAACGGCUUACCAAGGCGAUGAUCGGUAGCUGGUUUGAGAGGACGGUCAGCCACACUGGGACUGAGACACGGCCCAGACUCCUACGGGAGGCAGCAGCAAGGAAUAUUGUGCAAUGGGCGAAAGCCUGACACAGCGACGCCGCGUGGGGGAUGAAGGCUUUCGGGUUGUAAACCCUUUUCUCAGGGAAGAACAAUGACGGUACCUGAGGAAUAAGUCUCGGCUAACUACGUGCCAGCAGCCGCGGUAAUACGUAGGAGGCGAGCGUUAUCCGGAUUUACUGGGCGUAAAGAGGGCGUAGGCGGUCCUUCAAGUCGGAUGUAAAAUCUCCCGGCUCAACUGGGAGGGRCCAUUCGAUACUGCUGGGCUGGAGGAUAGCAGAGGGAGGUGGAAUUCCCGGUGUAGUGGUGAUAUGCGUAGAUAUCGGGAGGAACACCAGUGGCGAAGGCGGCCUCCUGGGCUAUUUCUGACGCUGAGGCCCAAAAGCGUGGGGAGCGAACAGGAUUAGAUACCCUGGUAGUCCACGCUGUAAACUAUGGACACUAGGUAUGGGGAGUAUCGACCCUUUCUGUGCCGAAGCUAACGCCUUAAGUGUCCCGCCUGGGGACUACGGCCGCAAGGCUA
This 841-nucleotide ribosomal RNA is filed under the name uncultured Chloroflexota bacterium. Its description in RNAcentral is "bacterial SSU rRNA". It matches the Rfam family "Bacterial small subunit ribosomal RNA", at positions 28 to 896 of the family's 1533-position model. The record is from RNAcentral. Lineage: Bacteria; Bacillati; Chloroflexota.